GCCCCGGUAGCUCAGUGGUAGAGCACUUCCUUGGUAAGGAAGAGGUCGUCAGUUCGAUCCUGAUCCGGGGCU
Molecule: transfer RNA, 72 nt
Filed under: Pseudoclavibacter sp.
Lineage: Bacteria; Bacillati; Actinomycetota; Actinomycetes; Micrococcales; Microbacteriaceae
Description: tRNA-Thr
Rfam family: tRNA
About the family: Transfer RNA (tRNA) molecules are approximately 80 nucleotides in length. Their secondary structure includes four short double-helical elements and three loops (D, anti-codon, and T loops).
Source: RNAcentral